Long non-coding RNA from Equus caballus (horse), 4351 nucleotides. RefSeq lists it as uncharacterized. The record is from RefSeq and is a predicted model, not a curated record. NCBI's taxonomy places the organism in Eukaryota, Metazoa, Chordata, Mammalia, Perissodactyla, Equidae.
AGAGAGACAGGGACACACGUGGUCACGCACCAUACAGACCCCAGUGGCAGCAGAUGGGAGCGUGCCGACCUUCAUGGCAGGGCACAUGUCACGACCAGCGUCAGGUGUCAGGCCUCAGCUGGGCCCUUCACCUAUCCUAACUCAUGACAUCCUCCAGCAACCCCAGGGGGCCGUGCUGUCAUGCCCCAAGGGGCCGAUGGCCUGGGUUCCAAUUCCUUGUCACCACUUCCUAGCUGUGGGACCUCGCCCAGUUCCUUAACCGCCAAUGCCUCAGUUUCCUUAUCUGCUAAAAGGAGGAGGAAUAAUUAUCUUAAAAUUGACUAUGCAAAUACAGAAACCAGGAACGCACCAGAAGUCAGACUUCAGCAGCACAUGCUGUGCAAGGACUGAGCUUUCGCCUGUUUUGUUCUCGGCUGUCUCCCCGGCCCUGAGCACAGCGCUGGCAUCUCCAGCUGCUCGAUAAACAUUUCUGGAAUGUGCCCUGGUUGGAUGAGCAGGGCCUGGCACAGAGUAGGGGCCCUGAAAUGAUUACUGUAGAGAGGAGGAAGCCGAGGCAUGGAGAGGUGGGUCGCACUCGCCCAGCUGGGAAGCAGCCGGGCUGGGAUCUGAGACUCAGGCGCAGGCCAGGGGCUCCGGUGAGUGCGCUCUGAAGGCCCGCGCUCUGCCCCUGCAGGACACACUCCCAGAAGAAGGCACAGAACGGCCUGCUCUGGGUUUCUUCCAGAAUCCCUGUCGCUCAUUCAGGCUUCAUUCGGUAAGUGCUUAGGAAAGAUUAAAAGGUGCCAGGCACAUGCUCAGGGCUGGGGACAGGAGAGUGGAGGACAGCCAGGCCUCUGGCCUCAGAAGCUUACGUCCCAGAAGGGGAAGUGGAAGCGGAUGGUACACAAGCUACGGCCAGACAGGAAUAAGAGCUGGCAAAGGAACGAGCAGGACUCCACAAGGGGAUCAAGCAGGAGACGAGGAGGGCAGUCAGAGGGCCUCUCGGAGGAGGUGACAUCUAAGCUGAGACCUGGAUCUGAGCGGGAUUUGUGAAGAGGAUCCUCCCCGUGACCUCUGGGAAGCCCGGCCCCCAGCGGCUCAGAGAGAAGAAGCAACUUGCCCAAGGUCGCACAGCCAGAGUGGCAGGUGUGGAUGGGACCAGGCUGAGGCUGAGCUGUUCACUGUCCUCGGACAGAACCGAGUGAGAGGCCCAGCAGCUCAAAGGAAACAGCUCAAAGUGGGCAGGUCAGACAUGUGCAGAAGACAGCAAAGAGCCAGAGGAUGGCUUGAGAGGAGAAAGAACGGCGACGUGGCAGAGAGAGAGCCGCUGGCAACCGCCAGGCAGAGGCAGCUCACUGGGCACACGGAGCCAGGGAGCCCACUCCAGACCCAGCCCAGGGACCUGAGCCUGCCUUCCGUCCCCCCGCCCCGCUGGACCCUGACAGGGGAGGGGUCCUGGCAUCCGGCAGUGAGGAUGGUGGGGAAGACCCUCAGAUCUGGAGUCCUAAGCCUCAUGUUCCAAUCCCGCCUCUGCCACUUGCCAGCUGGUGACCUGGACGAGGAACUUCCCCCGUCUGAGCUUCUGUUUUCUCCUCCCCCAAAAUGGGACAAUAAUACCUUUUUCUCAGGGAGCUGUUACGAGGUUGAGGGCACUUGUGUGUGAAGGUGCCCCGCGGGCCGACCAAAAACGCGAGCACGGGAACGUGGGACGCAAGGGGGUCUGGAUUCUGGCUGUGCCGGCAUCUGCUCAGGGACGCUGGGUGAGACCUGCCGGCUCAGGGACUCCGCCGUCAGCGUCCUGUCACCAGGAGAAUCACCCUCCUGACACAAGGACAUGCAGCACCUGCCCGCUCCGCUCUGUGCUCCUGCAAUCCAGCAUCUUCUAGCCCCUGAUUUCCAACAGAGGAGUGAGCCGGCCACGGGAGGGGUUCGGAUGCACUCACCUCCCCCGGGCACUCUCACCCCAGGCUCCAGCCCGCGUGGCCCCUUGGCUCCCCGAGGCCGUCCACCGCUGACCCCUGCAGAGCAGAGGAGGUGCUGCUUUGGGACGGGUGCCAGAGUGGGGCCAGGCCACCUCAGAGAGGCACAGGGGACAUUGGGCUCCCCAAGGGCCCCUGACAGUGAUUUGAGGGGAAAGUCCUCUGGGGGGCGAGCUGCAGUGCAGGGGGAGGCCACCUCAGCCCCAGAUGUCACCGCUGGGGUCUGAAAGUGCCUGGUCCUACAGGGAGUGAACUGCUCCCUUCGCAGACAGAGAGGUAUGAGCUGAGAAUCUGAGCUGAGCCACUGCUGCCUUAGGGAGCCCCUGGGUCUCUGCCCCCCAGGCUUCUCCCUUCCUCUCAGCCCAGGGACCUUGGAUUUCAGGAAAAGUAAAUAUAACGAUAAGCAAGAACCACCACCACUAUUCCACUGAUUACCGUCUGGGACUGCUGGGUACGGUUGGAAAGGCUGUGCACUGCCCAACUCCAAAGGGCACCAGGUACUUGGCAUACAAUAAACACGGUGCCCCCGGAGUUAGACAGCGCCCUGCCACCACCACCUAACACUGUCCAAAGGCCCACGAUGUGAGUGCCUUGUGUCAUUUAGGCCCCCUAAGAGAAAAGUAUGAUGACCCCAAGUUUACAGAUGAGAAGACGACACCAAGAGGAAGAGCACGUGGCCAGGAGCUGCCGGAACCAGGCUCUCCAUCGAGAUCUACGUGACUUGGAUGCCCAGCUCUCAGCCACUGUGUUAAAAGAGGGAGGCCACGAACAUGACUGGGUCUGGCGUGAAGCCGGGCCCCGGUAAUGUGGAACCAAGAGGAUCCUGGUGGGGGCACUUCACCGCUGUGUCCUUACCUUCCAGGGUGGGGAGGAUUUUUAGUCCCAUUCUCACCUUCCCCCAUUUUACAGAUGGGACAAUCAAGGCCCACAAGGGGAAAUCACUUUGCAGACUCACACACUGGAUCUGAGGCUCACUGCCCUCCUGUCCGUGCCAUUCCAGGGGGGGCGGGUAAGAAUGCAGCUCUGGGGUCGGAUGCCUCCCUGACGACAGAGACUGCUGCUCCCUUGAGCCUCAGUUUUCCCAUUCUGCAAAAUGGGCUGUGGGGAGCUUGGAACGAGAUAAGAGCAAGCACCCCAAAAUCUCAGCUAUGAUUUUCUUUGUGCCCUGUUGGAAAUCAACCGGGGGAAGGCUGCUCCUGCCUUGCUUUGCCCGCCCUCCCUUCCUCGUUAUCGCUCCUCACUUCUAUACAGUUUUUCUCUGACCCUGAAACACCGCCCGAUGGACACACCUGAGCCGGGAUGGGGAAGGGUACCCAGGUGUAACCACAGCAACCAGCCGGCUGCCCCGCCCCCGAGCGGCAGCACACAGGCCCGGCACUCCCGGGGCCCAGGUGGCCAACCUCGGAGUCCCGCCUCUUGGAACAAAUACAAACGGUCAGGGACGCAGGGCCCUUGAAGCUCUUCUGGAGGCGAGAUGGCUCUGGCCCAGCCGCCCUCCGGCGGCCCUUGAAAUGCCAGAGAGCUGGAGAGGCCCGCCAGCUGGGCAGCUCCCACCCACGGCAGAGCCCGCCGUCACCGAGAGCCGUGCAUGCAACGUGGGCACCAGCCACAGGGAGGUCAACUGAAAUGAGGCACAGUUCAACUGAAAAUUCAGCUCCUCGUUUGCACUGGCCACAUCCCAAGUGCCCAGGAGCCACGUGAUGGCCAGUGGCUACCGUCCUGGACACUGCAGACCUAGGAGGGGGGUCAGCAAACUGCGGCCCUCAGGCCCUAUCUACCCUUUGGCCUUUUGUUGUAUGGUCUUUGAGCUGAGAGGGGAUUUUACGUUUUUAAGGGAGAAGAGGCCACAGCAAAAAGUGUACAUGCUCUACAAAACCUGAAAUAUUUACUAUCUGGACAUUUAUAGAAAAAGUUGUGCACCCCUGUUCUAGAACAUUCCAUCAUUUGCACAAAGUCCUAUUGGAUGGACAAAUGAGCUGCAUGGGGAGGGGUCAAUGAGCCCUCCUUUUCUCGUAGGAGGAACAUCAGCAUGUAUUAAGCGCCACUGUAUAUUUAAGCCCAGACCAAGGGCUUUCCAUGCCCUACCUCGGUUUAUCCUCCCAACAGCCCAAUGGCUGGGUGGGGCUGGGCGGGGGCACCCUGGUGCUCCAAGUUCCAAAUGACAAAGGCCCAUGUGGGUGCCAGGUGCGCAGGACUAUGCCAAAAAGAAAACCACGAAAUCCGCUAACCAACCAGCAAACACAAACCGCAGAUAAGAAAAAAACAAAAAAGAAAGAAAUUCAAAAUGCCACCAGGGACGGUGUUCGGGGAGUAGGUGAUAAUACUUUUCUGCUAAAAACCUCCUCUUAUGGUGUUGUUAUAUUGUCUUUCUAUAUAAUAAAAUAAUAAAAUGA